Molecule: ribosomal RNA, 453 nt
Filed under: uncultured bacterium
Lineage: Bacteria
Description: bacterial SSU rRNA
Rfam family: Bacterial small subunit ribosomal RNA
Source: RNAcentral
UACGGAAGGCAGCAGUGGGGAAUAUUGCACAAUGGGCGCAAGCCUGAUGCAGCCAUGCCGCGUGUAUGAAGAAGGCCUUCGGAUUGUAAAGUACUUUCAGUCGUGAGGAAGGUGUUAAGGUUAAUAACCUUAGCAAUUGACGUUAGCGACAGAAGAAGCACCGGCUAACUCCGUGCCAGCAGCCGCGGUAAUACGGAGGGUGCGAGCGUUAAUCGGAAUUACUGGGCGUAAAGGGCACGCAGGCGGUUAAUUAAGUUGGAUGUGAAAUCCCCGGGCUUAACCUGGGAAUGGCAUUCAAGACUGGUUAGCUAGAGUCUUGUAGAGGGGGUAGAAUUCCAUGUGUAGCGGUGAAAUGCGUAGAGAUGUGGAGGAAUACCGGUGGCGAAGGCGGCCCCUGGGACAAAGACUGACGCUCAUGUGCGAAAGCGUGGGGAGCAAACAGGAUUAGAUACC